UACGGCUACCUUGUUACGACUUCAUCCCAGUUACCAAUCCCACCUUCGGCAGCUCCCUCCCAAUAAAGGGUUAGGACACUGACUUCGGGUGUUACCGACUUCCGUGAUGUGACGGGCGGUGUGUACAAGCCCCGAGAACGUAUUCACCGUGGCAUAGCUGAUCCACGAUUACUAGCGACUCCGGCUUCAUGAAGUCGAGUUGCAGACUUCAAUCCGAACUGGGGACGGCUUUAAGGGAUUGGCUCACUCUUGCGAGAUCGCGGCCCACUGUACCGCCCAUUGUAGCAUGCGUGCAGCCCUGGGUAUAAGGGGCAUGAUGACUUGACGUCGUCCUCGCCUUCCUCCGAGUUGUCCCCGGCAGUCUCCCAUGAGUCCCCACCAUUACGUGCUGGCAACAUAGGACAAGGGUUGCGCUCGUUGCGGGACUUAACCCAACAUCUCACGACACGAGCUGGCGACAGCCAUGCACCACCUGUGAUGAGCGCGUAAGCACACUGUGUUUCCACAGCUAGACCCACCAUGUCAAACCCAGGUAAGGUUCUUCGGGUUGCAUCGAAUUAAGCCGCAUGCUCCGCCGCUUGUGCGGGGCCCCGUCAAUUCCUUUGAGUUUUAGCCUUGCGGCCGUACUAAUCACUAGUGAAUUCGCGGCCGCCUGCAAGUCGACCAUAUGGGAGAGCUCCCAACGCGUUGGAUGCAUAG
Molecule: ribosomal RNA, 699 nt
Filed under: uncultured bacterium
Lineage: Bacteria
Description: partial 16S ribosomal RNA
Source: RNAcentral